This 399-nucleotide ribosomal RNA is filed under the name uncultured bacterium. RNAcentral describes it as "bacterial SSU rRNA". It matches the Rfam family "Bacterial small subunit ribosomal RNA", at positions 356 to 774 of the family's 1533-position model. The record is from RNAcentral.
UAGGAAUCUUCCACAAUGGGCGAAAGCCUGAUGGAGCGACGCCGCGUGAGGGAUGAAGGCCUUAGGGUUGUAAACCUCUAAAAGAGGGACGAUAAUGACGGUACCUCUUGAAUAGCACCGGCUAACUCCGUGCCAGCAGCCGCGGUAAUACGGAGGGUGCAAGCGUUAUCCGGAAUCACUGGGCGUAAAGGGCGCGUAGGCGGUCUGUUAAGUCCGAUGUUAAAUCCCGGGGCUCAACCCCGGAUAAGCGUUGGAUACUGGCAGGCUAGACGGUUGGAGAGGCGAGUGGAAUUACUAGUGUAGCGGUGGAAUGCGUAGAUACUGGUAGGAACACCCAUUGCGAAGGCAGCUCGCUGGACAACACGUGACGCUGAGGCGCGAAAGUGUGGGGAGCAAACC